CCUACGGGAGGCAGCAGUGAGGAAUAUUGGUCAAUGGGCGGGAGCCUGAACCAGCCAAGUCGCGUGAGGGAAGACGGUCCUACGGAUUGUAAACCUCUUUUGCCGGGGAGCAACGGGGUCCUUGCGAGGGCCCGAUGAGAGUACCCGGAGAAAAAGCAUCGGCUAACUCCGUGCCAGCAGCCGCGGUAAUACGGAGGAUGCAAGCGUUAUCCGGAUUUAUUGGGUUUAAAGGGUGCGUAGGCGGGCUGUUAAGUCAGCGGUUAAAUGCCGGGGCUCAACCCCGGCCCGCCGUGGAAACUGGCAACCUAGAGUUGGAUAGAGGUAAGCGGAAUGCGAGGUGAAGCGGUGAAAUGCGUAGAUAUAUGGAAGAACACCGAAGGCGAAGGCAGCUUACU
This 395-nucleotide ribosomal RNA is filed under the name uncultured bacterium. Its description in RNAcentral is "partial 16S ribosomal RNA". It matches the Rfam family "Bacterial small subunit ribosomal RNA", at positions 338 to 730 of the family's 1533-position model. The record is from RNAcentral.